AUUGAACGCUGGCGGCAUGCCUUACACAUGCAAGUCGAACGGUAACAGGUCUUCGGAUGCUGACGAGUGGCGAACGGGUGAGUAAUACAUCGGAACGUGCCCAGUCGUGGGGGAUAACGAAGCGAAAGCUUUGCUAAUACCGCACACGAUCUACGGAUGAAAGCGGGGGAUCGCAAGACCUCGCGCGAUUGGAGCGGCCGAUGGCAGAUUAGGUAGUUGGUGGGGUAAAGGCUUACCAAGCCUACGAUCUGUAGCUGGUCUGAGAGGACGACCAGCCACACUGGGACUGAGACACGGCCCAGACUCCUAUGGGAGGCAGCAGUGGGGAAUUUUGGACAAUGGGCGCAAGCCUGAUCCAGCAAUGCCGCGUGCAGGAUGAAGGCCUUCGGGUUGUAAACUGCUUUUGUACGGAACGAAAAGCUCUGGGUUAAUACCCUGGGGUCAUGACGGUACCGUAAGAAUAAGCACCGGCUAACUACGUGCCAGCCGCCGCCGUAA
Molecule: ribosomal RNA, 498 nt
Filed under: uncultured bacterium
Lineage: Bacteria
Description: partial 16S ribosomal RNA
Rfam family: Bacterial small subunit ribosomal RNA
Source: RNAcentral